CGGGGCUACUGCUCUGUAAUUGGCAUGGGGGCGACCUUCACCCUCGCCCGAGUACCCAUUGGAGGGCAAGUCUGGUGCCAGCAGCCGCGGUAAUUCCAGCUCCAAUAGCGUAUAUUAAACUUGUUGCAGUUAAAAAGCUCGUAGUUGUACUUCACGUCCCCCGCGUGGUCCUUUCCUCGCCGGGACGCCUCGUUACUUUGAGAAAAUUAGAGUGUUUCAAGCAGGUUUCGCCUGUAUAAUUGAGCAUGGAAUAACCUUGUAUGACCCUGUCGUACCGUUGGUUGACUUUGGGUAAUGGUUAAUAGGAACGGUUGGGGGCAUUCGUACUCGACUGUCAGAGGUGAAAUUCUUAGAUUUGUUAAAGACGAACUACUGCGAAAGCAUUUGCCAAGGAUGUUUUCAUUAAUCAAGAAC
RNAcentral lists this ribosomal RNA (414 nucleotides) under Babesia bovis. RNAcentral describes it as "SSU rRNA". It matches the Rfam family "Eukaryotic small subunit ribosomal RNA", at positions 486 to 984 of the family's 1831-position model. Lineage: Eukaryota; Apicomplexa; Aconoidasida; Piroplasmida; Babesiidae. The record is from RNAcentral.